Molecule: microRNA precursor, 98 nt
Filed under: Marmota monax (woodchuck)
Lineage: Eukaryota; Metazoa; Chordata; Mammalia; Rodentia; Sciuridae
Source: RNAcentral
UAAAAUAUUUUGAGGGAUCUUAUUAAAAUGCAGAUUCUGAUUCAGUAGAUUUGGGACCAAAAUUUCUACAUUUUAACAAACUCCCAGGUGAUGCUGAU